AGCAGUAGCCGCGGGAAUGCGGAGGGGGCUAGCGUUGUUCGGAAUUACUGGGCGUAAAGCGCACGUAGGCGGCUUGGUAAGUUAGAGGUGAAAGCCCGGAGCUCAACUCCGGAAUUGCCUUUAAGACUGCCGAGCUAGUAGGUGAGAGAGGUAAGUGGAAUUCCGAGUGUAGAGGUGAAAUUCGUAGAUAUUCGGAAGAACACCAGUGGCGAAGGCGGCUUACUGGCUCAUUCUAGACGCUGAGGUGCGAAAGCGUGGGGAGCAAACAGGAUUAGAUACCCCUGUAGUCCCUGUCUCUUAUAC
Molecule: ribosomal RNA, 303 nt
Filed under: uncultured bacterium
Lineage: Bacteria
Description: partial 16S ribosomal RNA
Rfam family: Bacterial small subunit ribosomal RNA
Source: RNAcentral